RNAcentral lists this unclassified non-coding RNA (434 nucleotides) under soil metagenome. RNAcentral's name for it is "partial contains 5.8S ribosomal RNA, internal transcribed spacer 2, and large subunit ribosomal RNA". The stretch from base 1 to 120 matches the Rfam family "5.8S ribosomal RNA", at positions 35 to 154 of the family's 154-position model. The record is from RNAcentral.
GAUGAAGAACGCAGCGAAAUGCGAUACGUAAUGUGAAUUGCAGAAUUCAGUGAAUCAUCGAAUCUUUGAACGCAUAUUGCGCUCUCUGGUAUUCCGGAGAGCAUGCUUGUUUGAGUAUCAGUAAACACCUCAACUCCCUUUUCUUUUUUGAAAUGGGAGCUGGACUUGAGUGAUCCCAACACUUUUCUCACUGGAAAGUGGCGGGUCACUUGAAAUGCAGGUGCAGCUGGACUUUUCUCUGAGCUAUAAGCAUAUCUAUUUAGUCUGCCUAAAAAACAGAUUAUUACCUUUGCUGCAGCUAACAUAAAGGAGAUGAGUUCUUGUGCUGACUGAUGCAGGAUUCACAGAGACAGCUUUGCGGCUGACUUUGUAAACUCGAUCUCAAAUCAAGUAAGACUACCCGCUGAACUUAAGCAUAUCAAUAAAGCGGAGGA